UUGACCUCGGAUCAGGUAGGAAUACCCGCUGAACUUAAGCAUAUCAAUAAGCGGAGGAAAAGAAACCAACAGGGAUUGCCCUAGUAACGGCGAGUGAAGCGGCAACAGCUCAAAUUUGAAAUCUGGCUCUCGGGCCCGAGUUGUAAUUUGUAGAGGAUACUUUUGAUGCGGUGCCUUCCGAGUUCCCUGGAACGGGACGCCAUAGAGGGUGAGAGCCCCGUCUGGUUGGAUGCCAAAUCUCUGUAAAGUUCCUUCAACGAGUCGAGUAGUUUGGGAAUGCUGCUCUAAAUGGGAGGUAUAUGUCUUCUAAAGCUAAAUACCGGCCAGAGACCGAUAGCGCACAAGUAGAGUGAUCGAAAGAUGAAAAGCACUUUGAAAAGAGAGUUAAAAAGUACGUGAAAUUGUUGAAAGGGAAGCGUUUAUGACCAGACUUGGGCUUGGUUAAUCAUCUGGGGUUCUCCCCAGUGCACUUUUCCAGUCCAGGCCAGCAUCAGUUUUCCCCGGGGGAUAAAGGCGGCGGGAAUGUGGCUCUCUUCGGGGAGUGUUAUAGCCCACCGUGUAAUACCCUGGGGGGGACUGAGGUUCGCGCAUCUGCA
This 596-nucleotide non-coding RNA is filed under the name Fusarium oxysporum. RNAcentral's name for it is "eukaryotic LSU rRNA". It matches the Rfam family "Eukaryotic large subunit ribosomal RNA", at positions 1 to 607 of the family's 3401-position model. The record is from RNAcentral. Lineage: Eukaryota; Fungi; Ascomycota; Sordariomycetes; Hypocreales; Nectriaceae. RNAcentral also lists the same sequence under 1 other name.